ACGAACGCUGGCGGCGUGCUUAACACAUGCCAGUCGCACGGAAAGGCCCUGCUUUUGUGGGGUGCUCGAGUGGCGAACGGGUGAGUAACACGUGAGUAACCUGCCCUUGACUUUGGGAUAACUUCAGGAAACUGGGGCUAAUACCGGAUAGGAGCUCCUGCUGCAUGGUGGGGGUUGGAAAGUUUCGGCGGUUGGGGAUGGACUCGCGGCUUAUCAGCUUGUUGGUGGGGUAGUGGCUUACCAAGGCUUUGACGGAUAGCCGGCCUGAGAGGGUGACCGGCCACAUUGGGACUGAGAUACGGCCCAGACUCCUACGGGAGGCAGCAGUGGGGAAUAUUGCACAAUGGGCGGAAGCCUGAUGCAGCAACGCCGCGUGCGGGAUGACGGCCUUCGGGUUGUAAACCGCCUUCGCCUGUGACGAAGCGUGAGUGACGGUAAUGGGUAAAGAAGCACCGGCUAACUACGUG
Molecule: ribosomal RNA, 467 nt
Filed under: uncultured bacterium
Lineage: Bacteria
Description: partial 16S ribosomal RNA
Rfam family: Bacterial small subunit ribosomal RNA
Source: RNAcentral